GUUUGAUCCUGGCUCAGGACGAACGCUGGCGGCGUGCUUAACACAUGCAAGUCGAACGAGAAUCUGUGGAUCGAGGAUUCGUCCAAGUGAAGCAGAGGACAGUGGCGGACGGGUGAGUAACGCGUGAGGAACCUGCCUUUCAGAGGGGGACAACAGUUGGAAACGACUGCUAAUACCGCAUGAUACAUUUGGGUGGCAUCAUCUGAAUGUCAAAGAUUUAUCGCUGAAAGAUGGCCUCGCGUCUGAUUAGCUAGUUGGUGGGGUAACGGCCCACCAAGGCGACGAUCAGUAGCCGGACUGAGAGGUUGACCGGCCACAUUGGGACUGAGAUACGGCCCAGACUCCUACGGGAGGCAGCAGUGGGGAAUAUUGGGCAAUGGGCGCAAGCCUGACCCAGCAACGCCGCGUGAAGGAAGAAGGCUUUCGGGUUGUAAAUUUCUUUUAAGAGGGAAGAGCAGAAGACUGUACCUCUAGAAUAAGCCACGGCUAACUACGUGCCAGCAGCCGCGGUAAUACGUAGGUGGCAAGCGUUGUCCGGAUUUACUGGGUGUAAAGGGCGUGCAGCCGGGAAUGCAAGUCAGAUGUGAAAUCCAUGGGCUUAACCCAUGAACUGCAUUUGAAACUGU
RNAcentral lists this ribosomal RNA (626 nucleotides) under uncultured bacterium. RNAcentral describes it as "bacterial SSU rRNA". It matches the Rfam family "Bacterial small subunit ribosomal RNA", at positions 11 to 636 of the family's 1533-position model. The record is from RNAcentral.